GGGUUGUGAGGUUAAGCGACUAAGCGUACACGGUGGAUGCCCUGGCAGUCAGAGGCGAUGAAGGACGUGCUAAUCUGCGAUAAGCGUCGGUAAGGUGAUAUGAACCGUUAUAACCGGCGAUUUCCGAAUGGGGAAACCCAGUGUGUUUCGACACACUAUCAUUAACUGAAUCCAUAGGUUAAUGAGGCGAACCGGGGGAACUGAAACAUCUAAGUACCCCGAGGAAAAGAAAUCAACCGAGAUUCCCCCAGUAGCGGCGAGCGAACGGGGAGCAGCCCAGAGCCUGAAUCAGUGUGUGUGUUAGUGGAAGCGUCUGGAAAGGCGCGCGAUACAGGGUGACAGCCCCGUACACAAAAAUGCACAUGCUGUGAGCUCGAUGAGUAGGGCGGGACACGUGGUAUCCUGUCUGAAUAUGGGGGGACCAUCCUCCAAGGCUAAAUACUCCUGACUGACCGAUAGUGAACCAGUACCGUGAGGGAAAGGCGAAAAGAACCCCGGCGAGGGGAGUGAAAAAGAACCUGAAACCGUGUACGUACAAGCAGUGGGAGCACGCUUAGGCGUGUGACUGCGUACCUUUUGUAUAAUGGGUCAGCGACUUAUAUUCUGUAGCAAGGUUAACCGAAUAGGGGAGCCGAAGGGAAACCGAGUCUUAACUGGGCGUUAAGUUGCAGGGUAUAGACCCGAAACCCGGUGAUCUAGCCAUGGGCAGGUUGAAGGUUGGGUAACACUAACUGGAGGACCGAACCGACUAAUGUUGAAAAAUUAGCGGAUGACUUGUGGCUGGGGGUGAAAGGCCAAUCAAACCGGGAGAUAGCUGGUUCUCCCCGAAAGCUAUUUAGGUAGCGCCUCGUGAAUUCAUCUCCGGGGGUAGAGCACUGUUUCGGCAAGGGGGUCAUCCCGACUUACCAACCCGAUGCAAACUGCGAAUACCGGAGAAUGUUAUCACGGGAGACACACGGCGGGUGCUAACGUCCGUCGUGAAGAGGGAAACAACCCAGACCGCCAGCUAAGGUCCCAAAGUCAUGGUUAAGUGGGAAACGAUGUGGGAAGGCCCAGACAGCCAGGAUGUUGGCUUAGAAGCAGCCAUCAUUUAAAGAAAGCGUAAUAGCUCACUGGUCGAGUCGGCCUGCGCGGAAGAUGUAACGGGGCUAAACCAUGCACCGAAGCUGCGGCAGCGACGCUUAUGCGUUGUUGGGUAGGGGAGCGUUCUGUAAGCCUGUGAAGGUGUGCUGUGAGGCAUGCUGGAGGUAUCAGAAGUGCGAAUGCUGACAUAAGUAACGAUAAAGCGGGUGAAAAGCCCGCUCGCCGGAAGACCAAGGGUUCCUGUCCAACGUUAAUCGGGGCAGGGUGAGUCGACCCCUAAGGCGAGGCCGAAAGGCGUAGUCGAUGGGAAACAGGUUAAUAUUCCUGUACUUGGUGUUACUGCGAAGGGGGGACGGAGAAGGCUAUGUUGGCCGGGCGACGGUUGUCCCGGUUUAAGCGUGUAGGCUGGUUUUCCAGGCAAAUCCGGAAAAUCAAGGCUGAGGCGUGAUGACGAGGCACUACGGUGCUGAAGCAACAAAUGCCCUGCUUCCAGGAAAAGCCUCUAAGCAUCAGGUAACAUCAAAUCGUACCCCAAACCGACACAGGUGGUCAGGUAGAGAAUACCAAGGCGCUUGAGAGAACUCGGGUGAAGGAACUAGGCAAAAUGGUGCCGUAACUUCGGGAGAAGGCACGCUGAUAUGUAGGUGAAGUCCCUUGCGGAUGGAGCUGAAAUCAGUCGAAGAUACCAGCUGGCUGCAACUGUUUAUUAAAAACACAGCACUGUGCAAACACGAAAGUGGACGUAUACGGUGUGACGCCUGCCCGGUGCCGGAAGGUUAAUUGAUGGGGUUAGCCGCAAGGCGAAGCUCUUGAUCGAAGCCCCGGUAAACGGCGGCCGUAACUAUAACGGUCCUAAGGUAGCGAAAUUCCUUGUCGGGUAAGUUCCGACCUGCACGAAUGGCGUAAUGAUGGCCAGGCUGUCUCCACCCGAGACUCAGUGAAAUUGAACUCGCUGUGAAGAUGCAGUGUACCCGCGGCAAGACGGAAAGACCCCGUGAACCUUUACUAUAGCUUGACACUGAACAUUGAGCCUUGAUGUGUAGGAUAGGUGGGAGGCUUUGAAGUGUGGACGCCAGUCUGCAUGGAGCCGACCUUGAAAUACCACCCUUUAAUGUUUGAUGUUCUAACGUUGACCCGUAAUCCGGGUUGCGGACAGUGUCUGGUGGGUAGUUUGACUGGGGCGGUCUCCUCCUAAAGAGUAACGGAGGAGCACGAAGGUUGGCUAAUCCUGGUCGGACAUCAGGAGGUUAGUGCAAUGGCAUAAGCCAGCUUGACUGCGAGCGUGACGGCGCGAGCAGGUGCGAAAGCAGGUCAUAGUGAUCCGGUGGUUCUGAAUGGAAGGGCCAUCGCUCAACGGAUAAAAGGUACUCCGGGGAUAACAGGCUGAUACCGCCCAAGAGUUCAUAUCGACGGCGGUGUUUGGCACCUCGAUGUCGGCUCAUCACAUCCUGGGGCUGAAGUAGGUCCCAAGGGUAUGGCUGUUCGCCAUUUAAAGUGGUACGCGAGCUGGGUUUAGAACGUCGUGAGACAGUUCGGUCCCUAUCUGCCGUGGGCGCUGGAGAACUGAGGGGGGCUGCUCCUAGUACGAGAGGACCGGAGUGGACGCAUCACUGGUGUUCGGGUUGUCAUGCCAAUGGCACUGCCCGGUAGCUAAAUGCGGAAGAGAUAAGUGCUGAAAGCAUCUAAGCACGAAACUUGCCCCGAGAUGAGUUCUCCCUGACCCUUUAAGGGUCCUGAAGGAACGUUGAAGACGACGACGUUGAUAGGCCGGGUGUGUAAGCGCAGCGAUGCGUUGAGCUAACCGGUACUAAUGAACCGUGAGGCUUAACCUUACAACGCCGAAGCUGUU
Molecule: ribosomal RNA, 2932 nt
Filed under: Escherichia coli
Lineage: Bacteria; Pseudomonadati; Pseudomonadota; Gammaproteobacteria; Enterobacterales; Enterobacteriaceae
Description: 23S ribosomal RNA
Rfam family: Bacterial large subunit ribosomal RNA
Source: RNAcentral